ACUCCUACGGGAGGCAGCAGUGGGGAAUAUUGGACAAUGGGCGAAAGCCUGAUCCAGCCAUGCCGCGUGUGUGAAGAAGGUCUUCGGAUUGUAAAGCACUUUAAGUUGGGAGGAAGGGCAGUAAGCUAAUACCUUGCUGUUUUGACGUUACCGACAGAAUAAGCACCGGCUAACUUCGUGCCAGCAGCCGCGGUAAUAC
Molecule: ribosomal RNA, 199 nt
Filed under: uncultured bacterium
Lineage: Bacteria
Description: partial 16S ribosomal RNA
Rfam family: Bacterial small subunit ribosomal RNA
Source: RNAcentral